RNAcentral lists this small RNA (261 nucleotides) under Arabidopsis thaliana (thale cress). Its description in RNAcentral is "ATSL061340". Lineage: Eukaryota; Viridiplantae; Streptophyta; Magnoliopsida; Brassicales; Brassicaceae. The record is from RNAcentral.
UUUUUUUAUAUAAAAUACUCUAAAAUUUCUAUUAAUAUUAAAUUUAUUAAAUAAAUUUUAACUAAUUAACCCGUGGUCCAACCCGGUUGACCCGAUGACCCGGUGACCCAAAAGGUAGUCCGGUUCAUCGUCCGGGUCGGGUUUCAUUGUGUAAAUGAUAUUUUUUGUGGUCAAAGUUGAGAGGUACUAUAACCUUUCCAUUUAUUUUUUUAUAGAUUUAUAAUCAAAAGAAUAUAACUUAUACUUUCAAUUUAUUUCCUU